Molecule: ribosomal RNA, 274 nt
Filed under: uncultured bacterium
Lineage: Bacteria
Description: partial 16S ribosomal RNA
Rfam family: Bacterial small subunit ribosomal RNA
Source: RNAcentral
AUACGGAGGGUCCAAGCGUUAUCCGGAUUCAUUGGGUUUAAAGGGUCCGCAGGCGGGAAAAUAAGUCAGUGGUGAAAGCCUACAGCUCAACUGUAGAACUGCCAUUGAUACUGUUUUUCUUGAGUAUAGAUGAAGUGGGCGGAAUAUAUCAUGUAGCGGUGAAAUGCAUAGAUAUGAUAUAGAACACCGAUUGCGAAGGCAGCUCACUAAACUAUUUCUGACGCUCAGGGACGAAAGCGUGGGGAGCGAACAGGAUUAGAAACCCCUGUAGUCC